AUAAGAGGUCCAGCCUGCCCAGUGAAAUUAUUCAACGGCCGCGGUAUCCUAACCGUGCGAAGGUAGCGUAAUCACUUGUUCUUUAAAUGAGGACUAGUAUGAAUGGCAUCACGAGGGUUUUACUGUCUCCUUUUUUAAAUCAGUGAAACUAAUCUCCCCGUGAAGAAGCGGGGAUUUUGUUAUAAGACGAGAAGACCCUAUGGAGCUUAAAACAAACAACAUUUGCUGCACAUAAUACUUUUAUCUUCAAGAAGUAUAGCAUUAUGAUAUUUAGUUUUUGAUUGGGGUGAUCACGGAGCAAAAUAAAACCUCCACGCCGAAAGGGUUUAUACCCUGAGCAAAAAGCUACAGCUUUAAGCACUAAAAAAUUAACGUAUUUGACCCAAUAUUUUGAUCAACGAACCAAGUUACCCUAGGGAUAACAGCGCAAUCCACUUCAAGAGCUCCUAUCGACAAGUGGGUUUACGACCUCGAUGUUGGAUCAGGGUGUCCUAGUGGUGCAGCCGCUACUAAUGGUUCGUUUGUUCAACGAUUAAAACCCUACGUGA
This 548-nucleotide ribosomal RNA is filed under the name Boana geographica A. RNAcentral describes it as "partial 16S ribosomal RNA". It matches the Rfam family "Bacterial large subunit ribosomal RNA", at positions 1845 to 2603 of the family's 2925-position model. Lineage: Eukaryota; Metazoa; Chordata; Amphibia; Anura; Hylidae. The record is from RNAcentral.